This 329-nucleotide unclassified non-coding RNA is filed under the name soil metagenome. Its description in RNAcentral is "partial contains 5.8S ribosomal RNA, internal transcribed spacer 2, and large subunit ribosomal RNA". The stretch from base 1 to 120 matches the Rfam family "5.8S ribosomal RNA", at positions 35 to 154 of the family's 154-position model. The record is from RNAcentral.
GAUGAAGAACGUAGCGAAAUGCGAUAAGUAAUGUGAAUUGCAGAAUUCAGUGAAUCAUCGAAUCUUUGAACGCACAUUGCGCCCCCUGGUAUUCCGGGGGGCAUGCCUGUUCGAGCGUCAUUACAACCCUCAAGCUCUGCUUGGUAUUGGGCCCCGCCAGUUCUGGCGGGCCCUAAAGUCAGUGGCGGUGCCUUCCGGCUCCGAGCGUAGCAAUUCUUCUCGCUCUGGAGACCCGGUUGUGUGCUUGCCAACAACCCCCAAUUUUUUAAGGUUGACCUCGGAUCAGGUAGGGAUACCCGCUGAACUUAAGCAUAUCAAUAAGCGGAGGA